Molecule: long non-coding RNA, 1522 nt
Filed under: Marmota monax (woodchuck)
Lineage: Eukaryota; Metazoa; Chordata; Mammalia; Rodentia; Sciuridae
Source: RNAcentral
AAAACUGAUAUUAUCAUUAAGGGAUUAAAAAUUUUGGAGUGAGACUUUUUUUUCUCCCAUUGUUUUAUUUUUAGACAGGGUCUCUAAGUUGCUUAGGGCCUCCCUAAAUUGUUGAGGCUGGUCUCCAACCAGUGAUACUCCUGUCUCAACCUCCUAAGUUGCUGGGAUUACAUGCAUGAGCCACCAUGCCUGGUUUGACAUUGAAAUUUCAACUUAUUUUUUGAGAUUUGAGUUCUACUCUAUUUGAGCUGACACAUCAGAGUCCUUCUAAAAAAGAAGGGUAAAUGUAAUGGACUAAUAUAGUAUGCAUCACUAAAUGAAUACCAGGACUGUCUACUCAAAUAAGGCUCAAACAUACCUUGUCUAUUCCUUCUGAACAGUGGUUAGGGCUCUUUGCUCAGUAAAUGGUCACAAUCCACAUAAUAAGAGUUUGUGAACAGAAGCUAUGAGAAAACACUGUUGUUCAAAUAUUGACAAAUACAACUGUAAUUCAAUAGAUAUUAUUAGAAUUGUGUACAGAAUAUUAUUUUUAGUGAUAAAAUGCAGUUUGCAAUCAUACAGUGUUCUUUCUUUGGGGGAGAUAACUGAAUGAUACUAAUGAAAUUCAUAGCUUCACAAAAGAAGCAAGUACAAGGUUAUUCUAGGAAAAGGUACAUAGCACUGUGCCAUAGGUCAGUCCCCACGAAGCCCACUUUUAGAAUUGUAUGAUCCUUGAGGUAGAGAGUUGGGCCUUAAUUCAAUCACCUCACUGUGCACCAGGCAUUGGAGAAAAGUUGCCCUCUGGGAAGGAAUGUGACUCAGAGGGAGGUAGAGAUGACUUUGCAGGGCCGAAGUCAAAUAGGAAUUCACCUGAGAGGGAUCAGCCACCAACUGUUGUCCACUGCAGCGAUGAGGAUCUGUGCAAAGGAGUGUGACUUGCACUGCGGGAUACACUGUAUCCUGGGUCCACUAACUGUUCUCUACAGAUUCUCACCUUUCUCCAUCUCACACAAAAAGGGGGUGAGAUUUAUAGGAGCUGUCCUGGUUGUGUUAUGCAGACCUGCUGCUGAGUGGGUGCUGUUCUUUCCAUAGAACUUUCUAUGAUCUUCAAGGGCUGAUGUGCAGAUUAGAUUCAGAAACAAGUAAACACAGGAAAAGCCUUUCAGAGACCACCAAAUAAGCUUAUUUUCAAAAUUACCAUUCUUUGUUACUUCCUUUCUGUCUCCCACCAACCAAAUUAUUUCCAUUUCAGGGUAUCAUGAUUUUCACCUAAUGACUGGGAUAUUUGGGUGAGAAAAGAUUUUGCUCUCUUUAUGUAUAUAUUCACCUGUGUAAUGUAAUGGCCAUCAAAUUGAUCCUGAUAGAAUUCAUAACACUACUCUUCAGGGCUAAAAAUUUCCCAACCAAAUAGUCUUAUUUCCUUGGUUUUUAGAAAAAGCUCUUUCAUCAAUUUUCUUCUAGGAAAAAGAAAGUAAGAAAAUGUACUUUAAAGUGCCUAAAAAAUUGUUUUCUUUGUGUAAAAGCUUAGUGUUCCAAGGUUAAA